UACGUAGGGUGCGAGCGUUAAUCGGAAUUACUGGGCGUAAAGCGUGCGCAGGCGGUUCUAUAAGACAGAUGUGAAAUCCCCGGGCUCAACCUGGGAAUGGCAUUUGGGACUGUAGAGCUAGAGUACGGCAGAGGGGGAUGGAAUUCCGCGUGUAGCAGUGAAAUGCGUAGAUAUGCGGAGGAACACCGAUGGCGAAGGCAAUCCCCGGGACCUGUACUGACGCUCAUGCACGAAAGCGUGGGGAGCAAACAGA
RNAcentral lists this ribosomal RNA (253 nucleotides) under uncultured bacterium. RNAcentral's name for it is "partial 16S ribosomal RNA". It matches the Rfam family "Bacterial small subunit ribosomal RNA", at positions 524 to 776 of the family's 1533-position model. The record is from RNAcentral.